Molecule: ribosomal RNA, 253 nt
Filed under: uncultured bacterium
Lineage: Bacteria
Description: partial 16S ribosomal RNA
Rfam family: Bacterial small subunit ribosomal RNA
Source: RNAcentral
UACGGAGGGGGCUAGCGUUGUUCGGAAUUACUGGGCGUAAAGCGCACGUAGGCGGCUUUGUAAGUUAGAGGUGAAAGCCCAGGGCUUAACCCUGGAAUUGCCUUUAAGACUGCAUCGCUAGAAUCGUGGAGAGGUGAGUGGAAUUCCGAGUGUAGAGGUGAAAUUCGUAGAUAUCAGGAGGAACACCUGUGGUGUAGACAGCUUACUGGACCAUUUCUGACGCUGAGACACGAAAGCGUGGGUAGCAAACAGG